CUUUAGUCUAUUGAAAUUCGCGGCUAAAUUCCCUUUGGAACGCAAACAUGCGUUCCACACCUUCAUUACCAUAUUCCCAACCUCGUGGAUGCGGUGACAUCACUUCUGGGUUCCGUUCCAAGUGGGGACGUGUAUUUCCGGUCACGUGAAUAUGAUAUCGUCACUUCCGGGUUCCGUUCUAAGUGGAACGCGGAAUGCGUUCCACUUCAAAUGUUGUCUGUUUUUUCCUAUUCUCAUAUAUAAAUGGAACGCAAAAUAUGCGUUCCA
Non-coding RNA from Pelobates cultripes (western spadefoot toad), 267 nucleotides. NCBI's taxonomy places the organism in Eukaryota, Metazoa, Chordata, Amphibia, Anura, Pelobatidae. The record is from the annotation of a GenBank genome assembly.